Molecule: transfer RNA, 72 nt
Filed under: Sphaerodactylus townsendi
Lineage: Eukaryota; Metazoa; Chordata; Lepidosauria; Squamata; Sphaerodactylidae
Description: tRNA-Ala
Rfam family: tRNA
About the family: Transfer RNA (tRNA) molecules are approximately 80 nucleotides in length. Their secondary structure includes four short double-helical elements and three loops (D, anti-codon, and T loops).
Source: RNAcentral
GGGGCUGUGGCUCAGUGAUGGAGCUUCUGCUUGGCAUACAGAAGAUCCCAAGUUCAAUCCCUGGCAUCCUCA